This 301-nucleotide ribosomal RNA is filed under the name uncultured bacterium. Its description in RNAcentral is "partial 16S ribosomal RNA". It matches the Rfam family "Bacterial small subunit ribosomal RNA", at positions 509 to 807 of the family's 1533-position model. The record is from RNAcentral.
CAGCAGCCACGGGAAUACGUAGGGUGCGAGCGUUAAUCGGAAUUACUGGGCGUAAAGCGUGCGCAGGCGGUUCGUUAAGACAGAUGUGAAAUCCCCGGGCUUAACCUGGGAACUGCAUUUGUGACUGGCGAGCUAGAGUAUGGCAGAGGGGGGUAGAAUUCCACGUGUAGCAGUGAAAUGCGUAGAGAUGUGGAGGAAUACCGAUGGCGAAGGCAGCCCCCUGGGCCAAUACUGACGCUCAUGCACGAAAGCGUGGGGAGCAAACAGGAUUAGAUACCCCGGUAGUCCCUGUCUCUUAUAC